AGGAUAAACGCUGGCGGCGUGCAUGAGACAUGCAAGUCGAACGGACACUUGGGGCUUGCUCCAAGUGUUAGUGGCGGGCGGCUGAGUAACGCGUAGGUGACCUGUCCCGAAGUGGGGAAUAACUGCCCGAAAGGGUGGCUAAUACCGCAUGUGGUGGUGUGUUCAUUCACACCAGUAAAGCCGCAAGGCGCUUCGGGAGGGGCCUGCGUCCGAUUAGCUCGUUGGUGGGGUAACGGCUCACCAAGGCGACGAUCGGUAGGUGGUCUGAGAGGACGAUCACCCAGACUGGGACUGAGACACGGCCCAGACUCCUACGGGAGGCAGCAGUCGGGAAUUUUGCGCAAUGGACGAAAGUCUGACGCAGCAACGCCGCGUGAGGGAUGAAGGCCUUCGGGUUGUAAACCUCUUUUAUCAGGGAAGAUAAUGACGGUACCUGAUGAAUAAGUCACGGCUAACUACGUGCCAGCAGCCGC
This 473-nucleotide ribosomal RNA is filed under the name uncultured bacterium. RNAcentral's name for it is "SSU rRNA". It matches the Rfam family "Bacterial small subunit ribosomal RNA", at positions 26 to 518 of the family's 1533-position model. The record is from RNAcentral.